Molecule: ribosomal RNA, 395 nt
Filed under: uncultured bacterium
Lineage: Bacteria
Description: bacterial SSU rRNA
Rfam family: Bacterial small subunit ribosomal RNA
Source: RNAcentral
GACGAACGCUGGCGGCGUGCUUAACACAUGCAAGUCGAGCGGUAAGGCCCUUUCGGGGGUACACGAGCGGCGAACGGGUGAGUAACACGUGGGUGACCUGCCCUCAGCUCUGGGAUAAGCCUGGGAAACCGGGUCUAAUACUGGAUAUGACUCCAUGACGCAUGUUGUGGGGUGGAAAGCCUUGUGCGGCUGAGGAUGGGCCCGCGGCCUAUCAGCUUGUUGGUGGGGUGAUGGCCUACCAAGGCGACGACGGGUAGCCGGCCUGAGAGGGCGACCGGCCACACUGGGACUGAGACACGGCCCAGACUCCUACGGGAGGCAGCAGUGGGAAUCUUGCGCAAUGGGCGAAAGCCUGACGCAGCGACGCCGCGUGAGGGAUGACGGCCUCGGUGUAA